CAUCACUGCCUCUUUAAGCUAUCCUAUUCUAUACAGUCUUUCUACAGGUUUCCAAUGAGUACCAGUUCACCCAUCUCACUGAUUUCCAGACAAGAAAAAACAUCCUAAUUUUAAAACCUGGAUGACUAACUGACUAAGUCGUCGGGAACGUGAGGCAGGUUCUGGAUCUGUUCUGUGCAGUGACCACUUCACAGAGGAUAAUUUUGACCGCACUGGUCAAAUUGUCCAGUUGAGGGAUGGUGCUAUGCCCACCCUUUUUAAUAUUCCAGCACAUCUUCAGCUUCCAAGACUAAAUGAAAGAAAAACUGAAAAUUCGUUGAAGGUGAGAGAGUACACAAGGGCCACAAAAGAUUUUCAAGAAGAAACUGUCCGAAGCAUGAAACCUGAUGAACAUAUA
Long non-coding RNA from Patella vulgata (common limpet), 397 nucleotides. RefSeq lists it as uncharacterized. The record is from RefSeq and is a predicted model, not a curated record. NCBI's taxonomy places the organism in Eukaryota, Metazoa, Mollusca, Gastropoda, Patellidae. The transcript is spliced from 3 exons.